UUCGAAGGGGGCUAGCGUUGUUCGGAAUUACUGGGCGUAAAGCGCACGUAGGCGGAUAUUUAAGUCAGGGGUGAAAUCCCGGGGCUCAACCCCGGAACUGCCUUUGAUACUGGGUAUCUGGAGUAUGGAAGAGGUGAGUGGAAUUCCGAGUGUAGAGGUGAAGUUCGUAGAUAUUCGGAGGAACACCAGUGGCGAAGGCGGCUCACUGGUCCAUUACUGACGCUGAGGUGCGAAAGCGUGGGGAGCAAACAGG
RNAcentral lists this ribosomal RNA (253 nucleotides) under uncultured bacterium. Its description in RNAcentral is "partial 16S ribosomal RNA". It matches the Rfam family "Bacterial small subunit ribosomal RNA", at positions 524 to 776 of the family's 1533-position model. The record is from RNAcentral.